UAGGGAAUCUUUCACAAUGGGCGAAAGCCUGAUGGAGCAACGCCGCGUGCAGGAUGAAGGCCUUCGGUUGUAAACUGCUUUUAUAAGCGAGAAAUAUGAUGGUAACUUAUGAAUAAGGAUCGGCUAACUACGUGCC
This 136-nucleotide ribosomal RNA is filed under the name uncultured bacterium. Its description in RNAcentral is "partial 16S ribosomal RNA". It matches the Rfam family "Bacterial small subunit ribosomal RNA", at positions 355 to 509 of the family's 1533-position model. The record is from RNAcentral.